RNAcentral lists this long non-coding RNA (977 nucleotides) under Homo sapiens (human). RNAcentral's name for it is "HSALNT0311653". The record is from RNAcentral. Lineage: Eukaryota; Metazoa; Chordata; Mammalia; Primates; Hominidae.
UGAUGGUUUUAUAAGGGACUUUCCCCGCUUUGCUUGGCACUCAUUCUCUCUUUUGCCACUCUGUGAAGAGGUGCCUUCUGCCAUGAUUGUGUUCCUGAGGCCUCUCCAGCCAUGUGGAACUGUGAGUCAAUUAAACCUCUUUUCUUUAUAAAUUACCCAGUCUUGGGUAUUUCUUCAUAGCAGCGUGAGAAUGGACUAAUACACCUGGUAAGAAUCUGUCCACAGACUUCCACAUUUGCUCCUUUAGAAUGGGAGUCCUCAGUAUUUCUUUUUUAUUAUUUUUAUUAUUUUUGUGAUCAUCCAGCCCAAAAUGUCAGUCUCAAUGUUUUUGUUGUUGUUGUUGUUGUUAUUGUUGUUUGUCUUUUUUGUUUUGUUUUAUUUUGAGACGGAGUCUCUCUCUGUCGCCCAGGCUGGAGUGCAGUGGCGUGAUCUCGGCUCACCAAAAGCUCCACCUCCCAGUAGAGACGGGGUUUCACUGUGUUAGCCAGGAUGGUCUCGAUCUCCCGACCUCGUGAUCCUCCCGCCUCGGCCUCCCAAAAUGCUGGGAUUACAGGCAUGAGCCACCAAGCCUGGCCUCAGUCCCAGUGUUUUUGAUUGGACAAUGGGGUUAAAAAAAAUUGAGCAUGCAUUCCAAAUGUGUGUGUAUUUGUUAUUCAUGCAUCCUCUGCAUACUUAUGCAUACCAUUAUUCUAAUAUAUUUGCAUACAUUAUAAAAACAUACCAUAAGAAAUAAUAAACUUUAAAGAAAAACUAAACAGGAUAUCUCUCCCUCCUCAGUGGUGCAUCCUGCCUUACCCCUCAGUCACAGGUGGCCCCAGGGAGACCACUCCCUGAGAACCCAUGUUUUCAGCCUAACUGGCUCCUUCCUCAGCAGACUCACACUGUGGCAGUCUCCCCUCAUCUCCACCAGUUUUGUUUCUCAAUAUUACUUUGCUCAUCUCAAAGGUUACCUAGAUUUAAGGGCCCUCUUAAAUUCU